UAUAGUUUUUGAAUUACAUGACAGGUGUGCAAGCCUCAUGUUGUGGUUAUGGUGAUUCAUUUCUGCCCUCAAAUCCAUAUACAUGCACCGUGAAUCAUUUUGUCAAUAUUUUACUUUAGUGUGUUAGGAGAUACCUGCGGUUGAGUGUGUUUGAUUUUCACUUCAUUAGCACUUGCAUUCUUAGGUUAAUUUUCAUAAAAAAAAUUGAGGGUAUUGAUACAACAAUAACUCAUUUAAAACUGCCAUGCUGAUUAACAUGCUUGAAAAGAGUUGUAAGG
Molecule: unclassified non-coding RNA, 278 nt
Filed under: Hevea brasiliensis (rubber tree)
Lineage: Eukaryota; Viridiplantae; Streptophyta; Magnoliopsida; Malpighiales; Euphorbiaceae
Source: RNAcentral